RNAcentral lists this ribosomal RNA (207 nucleotides) under uncultured bacterium. Its description in RNAcentral is "partial 16S ribosomal RNA". It matches the Rfam family "Bacterial small subunit ribosomal RNA", at positions 568 to 774 of the family's 1533-position model. The record is from RNAcentral.
CACGUAGGUUGCGAUUUAAGUCUGCUGUGAAAGUCCUGGGCUUAACCUGGGAAUGUCAGUAGAUACUGGAUAGCUAGAGUACAGGAGAGGGAAGUGGAAUUUCCGGUGUAGCGGUGAAAUGCGUAGAUAUCGGAAGGAACACCAGUGGCGAAGGCGACUUUCUGGCCUGAUACUGACACUGAAGUGCGAAAGCGUGGGUAGCGAACA